CCUACGGGUGGCAGCAGUGGGGAAUAUUGCACAAUGGGGGGAACCCUGAUGCAGCGACGCCGCGUGAGUGAAGAAGUAUUUCGGUAUGUAAAGCUCUAUCAGCAGGGAAGAAGAUGACGGUACCUGACUAAGAAGCCCCGGCUAACUACGUGCCAGCAGCCGCGGUAUAACGUAGGGGGCAAGCGUUAUCCGGAUUUACUGGGUGUAAAGGGAGCGUAGACGGGAGGGCAAGUCUGGAGUGAAAGCCCGGGACCCAACCCCGGGACUGCUUUGGAAACUGCCAUGCUAGAGUGCUGGAGAGGUAAGCGGAAUUCCUAGUGUAGCGGUGAAAUGCGUAGAUAGUAGGAGGAACACCAGUGGCGAAGGCGGCUUACUGGACAGUAACUGACGUUGAGGCUCGAAAGCGUGGGGAGCAAACAGGAUUAGAUACCCCAGUAGUC
This 440-nucleotide ribosomal RNA is filed under the name uncultured bacterium. RNAcentral describes it as "partial 16S ribosomal RNA". It matches the Rfam family "Bacterial small subunit ribosomal RNA", at positions 338 to 795 of the family's 1533-position model. The record is from RNAcentral.